CUACGGGAUGCAGCAGUGGGGAAUUUUGGACAAUGGGGGCAACCCUGAUCCAGCCAUGCCGCGUGAGUGAAGAAGGCCUUCGGGUUGUAAAGCUCUUUCGGCCGGGAAGAAAUCGUAUGGGUUAAUACCCUGUGCGGAUGACGGUACCGGCAUAAGAAGCACCGGCUAACUACGUGCCAGCAGCCGCGGUAAUACGUAGGGUGCGAGCGUUAAUCGGAAUUACUGGGCGUAAAGCGUGCGCAGGCGGUUUUGUAAGACAGGCGUGAAAUCCCCGGGCUCAACCUGGGAACUGCGCUUGUGACUGCAAGGCUUGAGUACGGCAGAGGGGGGUGGAAUUCCACGUGUAGCAGUGAAAUGCGUAGAGAUGUGGAGGAACACCAAUGGCGAAGGCAGCCCCCUGGGUCGAUACUGACGCUCAUGCACGAAAGCGUGGGUAGCAAACAGGAUUAGAUACCCCAGUAGUC
Molecule: ribosomal RNA, 464 nt
Filed under: uncultured bacterium
Lineage: Bacteria
Description: partial 16S ribosomal RNA
Rfam family: Bacterial small subunit ribosomal RNA
Source: RNAcentral